CUAAAUACAGGCUGAAAAAUAGUAGUUACCCAUAAACCCAUCCUCUCCGGUAGAAAAAUGAGUGGGAUUGUGAUGAAUUAGUGUGGGUUCCUAAAACAAAGUGAUUUGUACAUAACAAUAAUACAAGUAUGAAAACGGGUCUGACCAAUACUUUACAUCUUGUACCAAAGCCAGAGAACUACAGCAUAACUCUUCUGUGUUCUGGUAAUGGAGUCCUGAGGACUUGGCUGGUGGUCUCUGCAAUCCUGUAACUGAGCUUUGGGCCGCACUGCAUUGCUCACUGGACCAAUCCACCACUUCAUGCUUAUCUAUGAUCUGGGGUUACUGGCAGUGGCCACAUCCUGAUUGCUGGUAUUUUGAUGGCUGCACCUCCAAAGAGAGAAAGUGUGGAGGUUACCUGUGUCAGGGCCACGAGGCUGGAAGGAGCUGGCAAUUUGCUUAGAGAAUGCUUACCUAUAAAGGUAAGUCUCUUGGGUCUCAUCAGGAGAAUACUUCUUGCACGUGCAUAUUUUUCUAUGUAAAUGUCUGCCAGUUUUGAAAGUUUAUUCAAUCACACCACUUUGUAAGUAAAGUGAUUACAACAGGCACUGUUACAGAGAAAGUGUUUCUUUUCCUUUUGUCCCAUGGAGAAGCUUCUCCCUGAAAAUGC
RNAcentral lists this long non-coding RNA (649 nucleotides) under Anser brachyrhynchus (Pink-footed goose). Its description in RNAcentral is "lncRNA (ENSABRG00000010610.1)". The record is from RNAcentral. Lineage: Eukaryota; Metazoa; Chordata; Aves; Anseriformes; Anatidae.